Humulus lupulus (European hop) is the source of this 742-nucleotide long non-coding RNA. RefSeq lists it as uncharacterized. Lineage: Eukaryota; Viridiplantae; Streptophyta; Magnoliopsida; Rosales; Cannabaceae. The record is from RefSeq and is a predicted model, not a curated record. The transcript has 3 exons.
GGGUCAAUGGGCGAUCCGUAAGGCUCAUGGCCUAGGUUGGUGGCUUCCAUUGCACUUAGGAAGGGUGCCAGCCUAAGGUCUCCUCAAGCAGGAGAGCCUACGUCAUAAUUUGUUGCCGAGGGGGCCUGCGUACGCGCGGCCCCUGCAAUUUUAGUUGCUUUUAGGUUGAAUUGGAUCUCACACACCACGCUGAUUACUUACGUCCCACAUUGAAUGGGAAUAAAACUUAAACAUAAGUUGGGAGUAUAAGUAAAGGAAAGAGCAAUGAGCAAUUCACUUACCUGGACGGGGUCAAUGAGCGAUCAAGAUGGUUCAUGGCCUAGGUUGGUGACCUCUAUUGCACUUAGGAGGGGUGCCAGCUUAUGGUCUCCUCAAGUAGGAGAGCCAACGUCAUAAUUUGUGGUAGUGGGGGCCUGCGUUCGCGCGGCCCCUGUCCAAUAUAGUCUCUAAUCUUGUAUAUUCUACCAAUUAAGCUGACAAUGGAUUUAUUCGUGCCUACAACUUUGAAACAAUGAAAAAGGUUAUAGAAUUUGAAGCACACAAAUACUUCAUUAGAUAUGUAACUGUUCGUCCAUCCGUCCAAAUCUCUCAUAUCCAUAUACAUUCUAUAAGCAUAGAUUGGGUAAAGGGUUGGAUAUGCACUCAAAUCUUUGAGGGACAUUCCCAUUAUGUGAUCCGUGGCUUUCAAUCCAAAAGACUAAUUGUCUAGCUUAAUGGAAAUAUUAUGAAAACGUAGUUUUUA